GGAAAUUCAAUGCUGAUUGAGGGGUGUAGAAUGAAACUGGGAUGAAAUUCAAUAAAACAUGUUAAGCCCAAUCUCAAGGCCCAUUAGAACCAAAGCUCUUGAAUGAACACGUGUGGAAAUGACUCAACAAGUCAGUCAAAAUGGCACGUGGGGAAUUGACAUUUAUUUUUAAAAUAGCUAAAAACACGUUAAUUUCAUUAGCUCAGGCAUGCUUACUGUGGACCACCGCGCCGGAAAUCGCUUCUGGCGGCGGUGGCCACUAGAAAUGAGGAACACACACAUUACCUGAAUUCUCCCUCCCUUGAUUCCAAAUAUCAAGUCCAAACUUCCUGAUUCUCACUUAAAACCACGAAUCCAAUCCAUCUCCACAAGAACCCUAAGCCUAUGAAUCAAAAUUAAAUCCUCAAGACUUGGAAUCAAAGACCUAGAGGUUAGGGCUUUAUUUCCCCUGAUCUCAUUCUACAUUAUGGUAUCAAUUAUGCUUCAAGUGGUUACAGAAAUUAAACUCACCUGCCGGAGAAGAAGGUUGAGAUCGGAGCAACGCCGGUAUCUGAAUAAUUCCAGGUACCAGCUCUCCUUUUUCACGCUCUUGAACUCCACACUUCUUAUUAUUCUUUGCGUUUUGAUAGUGAAUCAGUGAGUCAGAUUUUGAUGUGGCUUAGCUCAAGAAAAUUGAAGCUUCAAUGGCUAUGGAGAAAGAGCUAUGAGUGAGGGAUUGAUGAAGGAGCGUGAUAGAUAAUGAAGCUUGAAAAUCUGAGAGCGGUGAAAAAUGAUUUCUGAAUCUGAGAUUGAGGAGUGGUCGAUACUUAUAGAAUUGGGAUCUCAGAUUCAGAUAGGAAAUGAAAUGCAAAUGCAGCUGAAAUGUCAUUUAGUUAGUUAGAAAUUAGAAAGUUGUUCGAGUCAAAUUCAAAUGAAAUUUGAAAUGAAAUGCAAAUGCAAAAUUCUGUUAGUGUGGAAUGUUAAAUUCAGUUCAGUGAUAACUGUUAGAUGGUACAUGUUAAUUUUCUUAGUGUUAAAAUGAUUUCUCAAAUGGUAGUUCAAAAAUUUUAUUGCUCGAUUAUUUCUUGCACUGCCCUGCUAUGUGAUGCUGUAUGCACUGAAAUGUGAUGGAUAUUAACUGCUAUGUUGAAUGUGAAUGGUCUGCUUGAUUUCAUGUAUGGCCUGUUGUUAGUUCAAGUUGCAAUGCCAUGAUGAAUUAUCUGCUGCUACAUUGAUGUUAUGUUAUUGCAGUAUGUUUUCAUGGCCAUGAGUGCAGGAUAUGGAUUGAUGAUGAUGAACAAACAAGGCUGCAAGUCGACUUGGCUUAUGCAGGGCAAAGCAAUGUUCAUGGUCAAGGUUUGUGAGCUACUGCAGAGCGUUUCCAUGGCUUCAUUGCAACCUAUGAUAUGGUUUUGUUGGCUAAUUGUUUUGACCAGUUGCAUUGCUAUUUGAUGGUGUUUGAUGCUACUAAUUUUGCUCUGCACCAUUACCAGUUCUGCUGGCAUGUUUGGAGUUUGUCUUAUUGAUCCUUUCAGGUCCAUUGCAGCUUUGUCAUGCUUACUUGCAUAGCAUAUUUUGCAUUGAUUCUGACUUUGUAUUGCAGCCUGUAUUGACUUGGUUUUAAAGCAUGUUUCAUGUUGUCUAUGCACUCCUUCUAACAUAGUGUUGCAGAGAGUUUCAUUUCAUGCUUAUGUGCAUGAUCCUGACUUGACCUUGCCUUGUUUGCUUAUGGUUUUGGACAUAAUUAUGACUUGCUGCAUGUUGAAUGCAGGUUUGGCAUGUGGUUUGUUCUACUGCAUGUUUGAGCUUCCAUGGUAAGAUUUUGUUGUUGUUAAUUGUUCAUGCUUGAUAAUCAAUAUGUAUUGCAAUGAAUGAUCUUUAUUCAAUAUGCAGGGUUUUGGUUUGGCUAAUGUGCAAGAUGAUCUAGUUCUUGGUCAUGACUUGGUGUGGAUAGUUGAACAAGGUAUGCACCAAGUGGUUUGCACAAGUUUGAAGGAAUUUUGGAAUGACAAAAGGCAAAAGUAAAGAAUCAAUAGUGAACUUUGGAGAUCAGAAAUAUGACUUAGGACUUUGGGUUGUAAAAAAUGAUUAAGUUGACCAAAAAAUCAACGGUUGAUCGAAGUCAACAUUUGGCCAAAGUUCUUUUUUUUUGUAUUUUUUCUCAUAGAAUGGACAAUCUCAUUAUUUGUAUAAUGGAAAUUGACUUUAGAUGAAUGAAAUUUAUAUUGAAUGAAUGAAUUUGUUAUUUGAAUGUUCUUGUAUGAAUUUGAUAAUUGAAUUGAAUGAAUGGACUUUGAAAUGAAUCUUGAUCAUGAUACUUGGAACUUGUAUGGAA
Molecule: long non-coding RNA, 2314 nt
Filed under: Lathyrus oleraceus (garden pea)
Lineage: Eukaryota; Viridiplantae; Streptophyta; Magnoliopsida; Fabales; Fabaceae
Description: Pisum sativum (pea) long non-coding RNA (PSAT_LNC022629)
Source: RNAcentral